AAUUUAAAAAUUAAUUAUAUGUAAGAGGGAUUUUUAUUAAUAAUAGAAAUAUAUUUUAUUUUAUUAUUUUUUAGAAAAAAUUAUUUUUAUUUAAUAUUACUGUGAAGGAAUAAUUAAAAUUGUUAAAAGAAGAAUUAAUUUUUUGUACCUUGUGUAUCAGGGUUUAUUAAAAUAAUUUAAUUAACUUUAAAAUUUUCGAAUUCAAAAGAGUUAAGCUAGCUUUAAAUUUUAUUGUGAAAUAAUUAUUUUAAAAAUUGGCUUAGAAAUGAAAUGUUAAUCGUUUUUGAAAAUAUCUAGUUUCUUAAGAAAAAAAUUUAAUUUUAUUUUUGGUAGUAAUUUAUUAAAUAUUUAAUUUUUUAUUAAAGAAAUUAAAUUGUUUAGGGGACAAGCUUUAAACAGAAAUUUUAUAAAAUUAAUGUAAUUAGUGAGUAAGUAGAAUUAGAAAUUUUUAUUUUUAGGUUAUUGUUAUAAUUCAUUCACUUUAUAUAAUAAUUUUUAUUAAUUUUAAGUAUUUAUUAGGAUUUUUUAUUUAAUUAUAGUUUAGAAUUAAUAAUGAUAAAAUUAGUAUAUGAUUUUUAAUAAAGUUUUAUAUUAUUAAGAUUUAUUAAAGGAAUUCGGCAAAUUGAUUUUUCACCUGUUUAUUAAAAACAUGUCCUUUAGAUUAUUAUUUAAGGUUUAACCUGCCCACUGAAGUUUUAAAUGGCCGCGGUAUUUUGACCGUGCAAAGGUAGCAUAAUCAAUAGUUUCUUAAUUGGAAGCUGGAAUGAAAGGUUGGAUGAGAAAAUAACUGUCUCUAUUAAAUAUAUAUAGAAUUUAAUUUUUAAGUAAAAAAGCUUAAAUGUUGUUAAAAGACGAGAAGACCCUAUAGAGUUUUAUAUAUUAAAUUAAAUUAUUAAUUGGAAUUAAUAAGUAAUUGGAUUAAUUAUAUUUAAUUGGGGUGAUUGAAAAAUUAAUUAAACUUUUUUUUAUUCAAAACAUUAAUUUAUGAAUAAAUGAUCCGUAUUAGCGAUUAUAAGAUUAAAUUACCUUAGGGAUAACAGCGUAAUUAUUUUUGAGAGUCCAAAUUGAAAAAAUAGAUUGCGACCUCGAUGUUGGAUUAAAAUAAAUUUACAGUGCAGAAGCUGUGAUAUUAGGUCUGUUCGACCUUAAAAAUUUUACAUGAUCUGAGUUUAGACCGGUGUAAGCCAGGUCGGAUUCUAUCUUUAAUUAGUUAACGAUUUUUAGUACGAAAGGACCAAGAUUGAUAUAAAAUAUAUUUUUGUUGAAUAUUAUUGUUA
Molecule: ribosomal RNA, 1277 nt
Filed under: Coleoptera sp. ACP-2013
Lineage: Eukaryota; Metazoa; Arthropoda; Insecta; Coleoptera
Description: 16S ribosomal RNA
Rfam family: Archaeal large subunit ribosomal RNA (bases 1033-1191)
Source: RNAcentral